This 692-nucleotide long non-coding RNA is filed under the name Cicer arietinum (chickpea). RNAcentral's name for it is "long non-coding RNA (CARI_LNC001953)". The record is from RNAcentral. Lineage: Eukaryota; Viridiplantae; Streptophyta; Magnoliopsida; Fabales; Fabaceae.
UCCAUUUUAUUUCAUGAACACAGAGAUUCAUUAUUUUAGCCUAUAAAUUGAGAUAAAAAAUCAAUAGAAAUGAAGACAAGAUUCUACACAAAACAAAAAAAAGAGGAAACAGUUAAAAAAAUGUAAAAGAGAAAUAACAAGCUUAACGUUUAUCUCUCUGUACUCAUUCAUACACCAUAACAACCAUUUGAACUCCAAAUAACUUUUUACUACCUCAAAAAAAAAAAAAAAAACAUGUAAACAAACCAAAGAACUUUUGAGAUGGGGGAUUUUUUUAAAAAUAAAUAAAUAUGAAAGAAAUCUCAACAUACGUCAAAUAUAGCCAUCGCCAACCACCACGGGGGCCCCUCUGUUGUUAUGUCAUUGGCGAUUGACUCCUCCCCUACCACAAACCACCAUCGCCAUCAUGACCCUCGCUCGCGGGCAACUCUAACAUACCAGAGCACCAUUCACGACAACACCUCGUUGAUUUUUUUUUUCUUUCACUUUUUCUUCCUUUGCUCUUUGAAAAUCAUAUUUAUCUCUUUGUAUCACAGUCGCAAUACUCCCUCUUUGUCAUUCAUAUUGAUUCACUUUAGGGUUUUUCUUUUUCUAAUUUUAGAUUGUUAUGCUUUUUUGAGUUGGGUGCGCAACUCAAACCCAUUCACUCACUUUUUUUUUUUUUUAUUAUUCUUUGUCCAACAAAAAAAAAA